RNAcentral lists this long non-coding RNA (279 nucleotides) under Lathyrus oleraceus (garden pea). RNAcentral's name for it is "Pisum sativum (pea) long non-coding RNA (PSAT_LNC006922)". The record is from RNAcentral. Lineage: Eukaryota; Viridiplantae; Streptophyta; Magnoliopsida; Fabales; Fabaceae.
UUUAAUGUAUUAAGUGUGACUUAAUCAUGAGAACACAUUAAACAUAAGGACACUAUUCUUAAAAUAUCCGUAGUCGAGCUUUAGUGUGAAGUGAGAUAACAUUAAAGCAUUAAGACUAUUAUGUUUGUAGACUGAUGAUCAUAUCUCAUGGAUCAUGGAUAAAGAGUUAUCAAGUCUUAAACAUAGGUAUGAAUAUUAGGAGUAAUAUUUAUACCAGAUUGACCCGCUAUGAGAAUACUAUAUAGAAAGUUAUGCAAAGUGUCAUAAGUUAUUCUCAUG